AUGACAAUUAUAAGUAUACCUGAACCAUUGAUCUCUGGUUUUCUGUUUGAUUUCAUCAUGCUUGGAGAAUCACCAGAGUUCUCUGGUAGAUUUCUCCAAAAUUGCAAUCGGGCCUUGAGAAGCCACGAUGUCGAAAUCGGAGAUGAAACCGAAUCUGAAGACAAACUGAAGCAUCUGAAGCCUGAAAUCGCGAGCGAAUGGAGAUGCAAUAGUGCUUUGUUGAAGCACGAUUGA
This is a non-coding RNA of Vicia faba (fava bean), 234 nucleotides long. NCBI's taxonomy places the organism in Eukaryota, Viridiplantae, Streptophyta, Magnoliopsida, Fabales, Fabaceae. The record is from the annotation of a GenBank genome assembly.